This 441-nucleotide ribosomal RNA is filed under the name uncultured bacterium. RNAcentral describes it as "bacterial SSU rRNA". It matches the Rfam family "Bacterial small subunit ribosomal RNA", at positions 954 to 1392 of the family's 1533-position model. The record is from RNAcentral.
GCUUAACGCGAAGAACCUUACCAGCUUUUGACAUGUCCGGUUUGAUCGGCAGAGAUGCCUUUCUUCAGUUCGGCUGGCCGGAACACAGGUGCUGCAUGGCUGUCGUCAGCUCGUGUCGUGAGAUGUUGGGUUAAGUCCCGCAACGAGCGCAACCCUCGCCCCUAGUUGCCAUCAUUCAGUUGGGAACUCUAGGGGGACUGCCGGUGAUAAGCCGCGAGGAAGGUGGGGAUGACGUCAAGUCCUCAUGGCCCUUACAGGCUGGGCUACACACGUGCUACAAUGGCGGUGACAAUGGGCAGCGAAAGGGCGACCUCGAGCUAAUCCCAAAAAGCCGUCUCAGUUCAGAUUGCACUCUGCAACUCGAGUGCAUGAAGGUGGAAUCGCUAGUAAUCGUGGAUCAGCAUGCCACGGUGAAUACGUUCCCGGGUCUUGUACACACCG